RNAcentral lists this long non-coding RNA (266 nucleotides) under Mytilus galloprovincialis (Mediterranean mussel). Lineage: Eukaryota; Metazoa; Mollusca; Bivalvia; Mytilida; Mytilidae. The record is from RNAcentral.
AAAACUGGAAAAAUAAAUAGUAAAGAAUAAUAAAUUGAUAGAAAGAGAAAUUUGCUCAAUAGAGAUAAACACCAGUGACCAGAUUAUUGGUCGAUGUUUAUGGAGUAAAGCUUAGUAAAAGCGGGUUUGCUUAAAUAUCUUUACAAUAUUUGCAAGCCAGAAUGUAUAAUUUAAAGUGAAAUAGGUAUAUGUAAUACAAAAUAGGGCUGUAUAGGAAACUAAGAGAAAAAGAAAGUAAUAAUUAUUUAGGGAUAGAUAGAAACGAC